Apis cerana (Asiatic honeybee) is the source of this 621-nucleotide long non-coding RNA. RefSeq lists it as uncharacterized. Lineage: Eukaryota; Metazoa; Arthropoda; Insecta; Hymenoptera; Apidae. The record is from RefSeq and is a predicted model, not a curated record.
GGGGGUAAGCAGGUUCUUUCACUGUGUUCGUUUCGCUCGCGAUCGUUUCAGUACGAUGUACUAGAGAAUACCCGGUGGAAGGAGGAGGAAAAGGAGAAGUAGAAUAGGCAUGAAGGUUUCCGUUUAAGAGUGUAAAGGACAGAAUCGAUGACAGUCGUGGAGGCAGGAUAAAACGAAGAAGGGGAAGUAUCCGCGCGCAUUUAUACGCGCCGACGCGCGCGCACCGAUAACGCUGCGAGCGCCCGUUAAACUUUAUUGCGUUCAAUUUAAAAAUAGAAUUCUAUCUAGAAGGAAGAGAAACGUUUGCGCGCAUAAAGAAUGUCUCGCUAAAGAUAUGCCGGCCAACGGAAGCUUGUACUUGUCUAAUUUGUAUCGAAUUCACCAAAUUAUUUUGGAAAAUUUUUAUUUUUGAUUAUUAUGUAUGAUAAUAUAUAAAAUGGUUCGAUAAAUUAAAUAGAAAAUUUAUUAGAAAUAAUUUUAAAAAUUAAAAAUACAAAGUUUAUAUAUAAAAAAAUGUUUAUUAAAUUAUUUAUGAAUAAUUAAAUAAAAUUAAAUUUGUCAUAAUUUGCAAAAUUAAAUUAUUUAUAACUUGAAAAAUAAACUUCAGCAGAUAUUUUUGUA